AAACUGAAACAGAACAAAGAGGUUAGCUUUCUGAUUAUCUUGCUACUGUGGCCUUUGCUUCUUAUGGGUGCAGUACUCAGUAUAAAUUAAUUUGAUUGAAUGCUGAAGUCAACUGAAUGAUAGGCCUUUUCUAAAAUGAAAAAAACUGCCCAAUUGCAUUAAUGUGAGUUAAACGUGGCACUAGGAGAGUUUUUGUCAAAAUGCAGGUUCUAAGCUCUGUGCACUGUGCUGCAGUGCUCGAGAUGUCUCUGGAGUCCCUGGUUCAGUAAAAGUUUCUUGGAUAUUUUCAAUCCUUUUCUCUUUUGUAUGCACUCCUGUACUAGUGCAUGUGUGCUGUGCGUGUAUCCAUUUCUGGCUGGCUUUGGAAAACCUUGACAGAUGCUGCCUUCACUCCUGUUAUAUUAGCAAAUUAGGUCACUCACUCUCUUCUCUUCCCUUGCUUGGUGCCUGCUUCAGGAGAUUGACCACAACUGAUUCUGUAUUUAAGGCAAUCCUGGUGCUGUUGUACCCCACAUUGUAAUUAUUCUUCUUUUCAAUACAACUCAACUAAGCCUUGAUCAAACUAGUGGAUGCAAGUUAAGCUCAAGUCUUAUCAAUACCGCAUUAAAAAUGUAGAUUUAGGAAAUAUAUGCAAACUUUCAUGUGGCUUUUUUUCACAUGUCUUGGAUAUAUUGCUAUAAUAAGAGCACAAUGGCUAUCAGAGAUGGACAGGUAAAUGCAUGAAUAAAUACUUCCAUUCUGGCUUUAGGAGAUAGGAUGUUCAGUUACGUGGGGGGCUAGACAAUUCAUUCGCUUGACAUGCGCCUGUGUCCAUGUAAUCAUGCUUAUCUUACAGAUAAAAUGUUUGAUCAUUUGACUGGUCUUUAAAAUUUUGCUUGAUAACUAUAGUGGUUGCAUAAUUGGUUCCCUUUUAUUGAUUGAUCGUUUUUCAUAAGGAGCUUUGUAUUCUUCAAGGUACAAUAGCCAAGGCAUAGCAUGCGGUAGACUUUAUGAAUGGAAAGACAUGUUCUCUGUUCUCUUUCUAUUUCGCCCCUUACAGCAUGUUCAUGUCUUUUUUUAGUUUGUGUACGGAAUUUUAAUAUUGAAAUAAAUCUAAUACUGAGUAUUUGCUUAAUUUUAGUGUUGAAAUAGAUUACACUGUUAAAUAUUGGUUUACUUUUCAUCAACUAUUUAACAAUCUACCAAUAAAUCAUAACAAUAAUUGUAAUAAUAUAAUUUUAUGGUUAAUGCAUAGCAAAAAAGAGACGAGGUUAAUGUGAUUAAUGCAGGUUGAACAAAAGCUGAAGCAUG
Molecule: unclassified non-coding RNA, 1290 nt
Filed under: Hevea brasiliensis (rubber tree)
Lineage: Eukaryota; Viridiplantae; Streptophyta; Magnoliopsida; Malpighiales; Euphorbiaceae
Source: RNAcentral